AUAGAGGAUCGGUCUGCCGCGUAGGGGGUUCAAAACUCCUAUGAGGAACGUCCGGGCAACGCAGAGCACCAUACUUCCUAACGGGAAGCUACUCGUGAGGGUAGAGUAGUGUAACAGAAAAUAACCGCCCCACUUGUGGGGUAAGGGUGAAAAGGUAGGGUAAGAGCCUACCGGGCAUGGUAGGAAUGCCAUGUGCCGUACAUCUUAUGGGUUGCAAGAUCAUGUAAACCAGCGCGAUGAGGGUUGCUCGCCCCAGCUGGAGGGUAGAUUGCUAGAGCUGUGUGGUGACGCACAGUCGAGAUAAAUGGCAGACGCUUAGGUUAUGGCCUAGGUACAGAACCCGGCUUAUAGAUCCUCUAUCUGU
This 364-nucleotide RNase P RNA is filed under the name Porphyromonadaceae bacterium. Its description in RNAcentral is "RNase P RNA component class A". It matches the Rfam family "Bacterial RNase P class A". From Rfam's summary of the family: Ribonuclease P (RNase P) is a ubiquitous endoribonuclease, found in archaea, bacteria and eukarya as well as chloroplasts and mitochondria. Its best characterised activity is the generation of mature 5'-ends of tRNAs by cleaving the 5'-leader elements of precursor-tRNAs. The record is from RNAcentral. Lineage: Bacteria; Pseudomonadati; Bacteroidota; Bacteroidia; Bacteroidales; Porphyromonadaceae.